GACGUAGGGCGCGAGCGUUGUCCGGAUUUAUUGGGCGUAAAGAGCUCGUAGGCGGCUUGUCGCGUCGACUGUGAAAGCCCGCGGCUCAACCGUGUGGCGGGCAGUUGAUACGGGCAGGCUAGAGUUCGGUAGGGGAGACUGGAAUUCCUGGUGUAGCGGUGAAAUGCGCAGAUAUCAGGAGGAACACCGGUGGCGAAGGCGGGUCUCUGGGCCGAUACUGACGCUGAGGAGCGAAAGCGUGGGGAGCGAACAGG
Molecule: ribosomal RNA, 254 nt
Filed under: uncultured bacterium
Lineage: Bacteria
Description: partial 16S ribosomal RNA
Rfam family: Bacterial small subunit ribosomal RNA
Source: RNAcentral